AAACCCCUCAAGCCUAGCUUGGUGUUGGGGCCUGCCAUACUGGCAGCCCUUAAAAUCAGUGGCGGCGCCAUCUGGCUCUAAGCGUAGUAAUUCUUCUCGCUAUAGGGUCCUGAUGGAUGCUUGCCAACAACCCCCAAUUUUCUAU
RNAcentral lists this unclassified non-coding RNA (145 nucleotides) under uncultured Helotiales. RNAcentral's name for it is "sequence contains ITS2". Lineage: Eukaryota; Fungi; Ascomycota; Leotiomycetes; Helotiales. The record is from RNAcentral.